Molecule: ribosomal RNA, 328 nt
Filed under: uncultured eukaryote
Lineage: Eukaryota
Description: partial 18S ribosomal RNA
Rfam family: Eukaryotic small subunit ribosomal RNA
Source: RNAcentral
CCCUUAGAUGUUCUGGGCUGCACGCGCGCUACACUGAUGCGCUCAACGAGUUUGUAUCCUUGCCUGGCAAGGUCGGGUAAUCUGUUCAAAACGCAUCGUGAUGGGGAUAGAUUAUUGCAAUUAUUAAUCUUCAACGAGGAAUUCCUAGUAAGCGCAAGUCAACAGCUUGCGUUGAUUACGUCCCUGCCCUUUGUACACACCGCCCGUCGCUACUACUGAUUGGAUGUUUAAGCGAGGUUCUCGAACUGCUAGCGACUUAGCUUCGGUGAGGUCGCAGUGUGGGAAGUGAACCUAGCUUUGGUGUCUAGAGGAAGUAAAAGUCGUAACA